AUGAACGCUGGCGGCGUGCCUAAUACAUGCAAGUCGAGCGAACAGACGAGUAGCUUGCUCCUCUGACGUUAGCGGCGUACGGGUGAGUAACACGUGGAUAACCUACCUAUAAGACUGUGAUAACUUCGGUAAACCGGAUCUAAUACCGGAUAAUAUAUUUAACCGCAUGGUUCAAUAUUGAAUUACGGUUUUGCUUUCACUUAUAGAUGGAUCCGCGCCGCAUUAGCUAGUUGGUAAGGUAACGGCUUACCAAGGCAACGAUGCGUAGACGACCUGAGAGGGUGAUCGGCCAAACUGGAACUGAGACACGGUCCAGAAUCCUACGGGAGGCAGCAGUAGGGAAUAUUACGCAAUGGGCGAAAGCUUGACGGAGCAAAGCCGCGUGAGUGAUGAAGGUCUUAGGAUCGUAAAACUCUGUUAUUAGGGAAGAAAAAAUGUGUAAGUAAAUAUGCACGUAUUGACGGUACCUAAACAGAAAGCCACGGCUAACUACGUG
RNAcentral lists this ribosomal RNA (496 nucleotides) under uncultured bacterium. RNAcentral describes it as "partial 16S ribosomal RNA". It matches the Rfam family "Bacterial small subunit ribosomal RNA", at positions 29 to 507 of the family's 1533-position model. The record is from RNAcentral.